ACAGAAUCUGCGUUGUGUGACCCGUACUUCCUUCAGAACUCGGCGGUGAUGACAAUUGAAAUGUCGAAGUGUCACCGAACUGCAAUGUGGCGUCUCCGUACCCGCCUUUCUUUAACGGAUGUCGAGGGAUGUGCUGCUCACUGCAACUCACUUAAGUGUGUCUGCGUCGACUACCCACUGUUCAGCCCGUGCUGUGCGGUUUGUAUUACUGGAGGAUCCGGCGGUACAGACGCUCUAAAUAUCCAAGUGGCGUCGGCAUCUCAGCAACGGCCAGUUCGCGGACCGGAACCCUGCAGCGGCGCCUUCGUGUCCGCAAUAUUCGCUAGCGUCGACUAAUGCUUGACAGACGGCGAUGACGGAGGUGCUGGGAUGUGCUGCUGACCAUAACACAGCCAGCUGUAUCUACUGCCAACAUGGAGUGAGUCGGCAAGUGCCCAUUGACUGACAGACCUGCAGGAGGACUUUGGCAGUGGCAGCAGUAUCAAAGCAGUUGCCCAAAUGGUAUGCUCUAUAGUGUUGGAUUACUUGUGCACAUGGGUGUAGUGUGAAAACGCGUGAAAGGACUUUCACAGUUCCUGCGGUGUUGUCAUGUCUGAAUCUGAAUCACUGAGCGGUUUGGUUAUAUCUGAAUUUGUGUUGUCACUGGACAGUUCCUUGAUCAUUAGCUGCCUGUUUUCUAGAUAUAUUACAGCAGUGGCAUAAGAGCAGGUGCAAAAAAAUGGGAUUUUGCUGUACAAUUGCAGGUUGGUUGCUUUUCCGAUUGUUGCAUUGCUCUAUUUGUUGCCAAAAAAAUUUUAUGAUCGCUGUCUGCUGCCUUGAAUGUGAACUGGUGCUUGUGAAAGCAUAACAUACUAUGUGUGUGAAAGAAGUCAAUCAAAUCAGUAAGUGUGGUGGAGUCACUGAUGUGAAAAGUUGAAAAAUGAAUGUUCUCGCAAAAUCUGAAUGUUCAUGGUGUAUGCCAUGAAAACUUGCAAUAACCCAAGCAAACCUACAUGUUCUAAAGAAUAUUAAGUGAUGCUUGAAGUUAUAAGCUGAUGCAUCAAGACUUGAGAUUAUAGAUAAGGAUUCAGUGUAAUUCGUGUUUAAUCAGCUUAAAACCUUGCCAAAGCAAUGGAAUCAAAUUGCGACAACUUUUAAGAGGUUGCCAUGAUGAGGUUGCUGGCAUUAGUUGUUGCUUGGGGAACAACGCAUAACAGGUAUGUGGUGAUUGAGCUUAUCAAAAAAGAAAGAGCAGCUAAAGAUAUCUAAUCAAUUGAAGACGUAAGCCACUGCAAGAAGUUAAAGUGAACAAACUCAAUAAGGCUACAGCUAUAUUUGCUCAGUAAUAGGAAAUUUGUAAUCUGACUGAUGGUGCAUAGGUGAUGGAUGUAUAUUGCAUGUUUGAGGGCUUAAUUUUUCAUAAGCUGUGUUUUUUUUCCGACGUGCUUAGUACGUGGCAUGCUUGACUGCGGACUCCCAGCACCAUGUACAAUUAAUGGGAAAUAAAGUACCUUUUUCUAUGCA
This is a non-coding RNA of Dermacentor andersoni, 1503 nucleotides long. NCBI's taxonomy places the organism in Eukaryota, Metazoa, Arthropoda, Arachnida, Ixodida, Ixodidae. The record is from RefSeq and is a predicted model, not a curated record.